AAAACAGACCCAAAUAUAAACUCAAAUAUAAAUUUCUAUUGUUUCUUUCAUAACGGAUAUGUACAUCACCUAUGUUCAAAGCGCAAGAUACACACGUUCACCUCCUUCCAGAUUCCAAUUCAUCCAACGAUGUAAAUUCAUUGCCGUUUUGCCGGAGUUGUAAACUCACGACUUCUACAUCCAUGGCCUGCAUAUUGAGUGCAUUUGCAGUCUGCCCUGCAUUUGUAUUAGAAUGUGACUCCUCAAGUGCCUGAAAAUACGCAUAAGGCCCCCACCCUUCUUCACUAUAUGGGGGUGGGAAAAACUGCAUAUAGCAAAA
RNAcentral lists this unclassified non-coding RNA (319 nucleotides) under Hevea brasiliensis (rubber tree). The record is from RNAcentral. Lineage: Eukaryota; Viridiplantae; Streptophyta; Magnoliopsida; Malpighiales; Euphorbiaceae.